AAUGAACGUUGGCGGCGUGGAUUAGGCAUGCAAGUCGCGCGACAAGGUUUUGUUAGCUUGCUAAUGAAACUGGAGGAGCGGCGAAAGGGAGAGUAACGCGUGGGUAUCUGCCUCUAAGCCUGGGAUAGCAGGGGGAAACUCCUGGUAAUACCGGAUAAUGUCUCCGGACCAAAGGUGUGAUUCCGCUUAGAGAUGGGCCCGCGUCCUAUUAGGUUGUUGGUGGGGUAAUGGCCUACCAAGCCAAAGAUGGGUACCGGGUGUGAGAGCAUGGCCCGGCUCACUGGGACUGAGACACUGCCCAGACACCUACGGGUGGCUGCAGUCGAGAAUCUUCCGCAAUGGACGAAAGUCUGACGGAGCGACGCCGCGUGCGGGAUGAAGGCCUUCGGGUUGUAAACCGCUGUCAGAGGGAGC
RNAcentral lists this ribosomal RNA (414 nucleotides) under uncultured bacterium. RNAcentral describes it as "bacterial SSU rRNA". It matches the Rfam family "Bacterial small subunit ribosomal RNA", at positions 29 to 446 of the family's 1533-position model. The record is from RNAcentral.